UUAUGUUCAUGAAAGAAACUUGCUAUACAAGGUCGACUUACUGUGCUUGGUGAAAUGCUUUUCGCAUUUCUCUUUGUUGGGGCCCCACCCCCAACUUGCUUUGUCUGUUGGCUUUCUUUUUGAAAGCCUAUUUGUUGGGGCCCCUGUCUUCACUUGUCUUGUACUCCAAAGUGUCUUGCUAAAAUACGUCUCAUUGAUAUGUAAUUUUACAUCAACAUAUUUAAAAAA
This 228-nucleotide non-coding RNA is filed under the name Staphylococcus lugdunensis. RNAcentral describes it as "Staphylococcus sRNA 35 (srn_0335)". It matches the Rfam family "Staphylococcus sRNA 35 (srn_0335)". From Rfam's summary of the family: Other name: Srn_0335, SAOUHSCs258. Lineage: Bacteria; Bacillati; Bacillota; Bacilli; Caryophanales; Staphylococcaceae. The record is from RNAcentral.